This 1100-nucleotide ribosomal RNA is filed under the name Bifidobacterium hapali. Its description in RNAcentral is "bacterial SSU rRNA". It matches the Rfam family "Bacterial small subunit ribosomal RNA", at positions 8 to 1115 of the family's 1533-position model. Lineage: Bacteria; Bacillati; Actinomycetota; Actinomycetes; Bifidobacteriales; Bifidobacteriaceae. The record is from RNAcentral.
AGGGUUCGAUUCUGGCUCAGGAUGAACGCUGGCGGCGUGCUUAACACAUGCAAGUCGAACGGGAUCCUCAAGCUUGCUUGGGGUGAGAGUGGCGAACGGGUGAGUAAUGCGUGACUGACCUGCCCUGUACUUUGGGAUAGCUCCUGGAAACGGGUGGUAAUACUGAAUGUUCCACAUGAUCGCAUGUGAUUGUGGGAAAGCUUUUUUGCGGUAUGGGAUGGGGUCGCGUCCUAUCAGCUUGACGGUGGGGUGAUGGCCUACCGUGGCUUUGACGGGUAGCCGGCCUGAGAGGGCGACCGGCCACAUUGGGACUGAGAUACGGCCCAGACUCCUACGGGAGGCAGCAGUGGGGAAUAUUGCACAAUGGGCGCAAGCCUGAUGCAGCGACGCCGCGUGAGGGAUGGAGGCCUUCGGGUUGUAAACCUCUUUUACAAGGGAGCAAGGCUUUAUUGUUGAGUGUACUUUGUGAAUAAGCACCGGCUAACUACGUGCCAGCAGCCGCGGUAAUACGUAGGGUGCAAGCGUUAUCCGGAUUUAUUGGGCGUAAAGAGCUCGUAGGCGGUUCGUCGCGUCUGGUGUGAAAGCCCAUCGCUUAACGGUGGGUUUGCGUCGGGUACGGGCGGGCUGGAGUGCGGUAGGGGAGACUGGAAUUCCCGGUGUAACGGUGGAAUGUGUAGAUAUCGGGAGGAACACCAAUGGCGAAGGCAGGUCUCUGGGCCGUUACUGACGCUGAGGAGCGAAAGCGUGGGGAGCGAACAGGAUUAGAUACCCUGGUAGUCCACGCUGUAAACGGUGGAUGCUGGAUGUGGGGCACGUUCCACGUGUUCUGUGUCGGAGCUAACGCGUUAAGCAUCCCGCCUGGGGAGUACGGCCGCAAGGCUAAAACUCAAAGAAAUUGACGGGGGCCCGCACAAGCGGCGGAGCAUGCGGAUUAAUUCGAUGCAACGCGAAGAACCUUACCUGGGCUUGACAUGUUCCCGACGACCUCAGAGCUGGCGUUUCCCUUCGUGGUGUGUUCACAGCUGGUGCAUUGUAGUCCUGAGCGCGCUUCGUCAGUUGUUGGGCUAAGUCCCGCAACGAGCGCAACCCUUGCCUUAUGU